This 254-nucleotide ribosomal RNA is filed under the name uncultured bacterium. Its description in RNAcentral is "partial 16S ribosomal RNA". It matches the Rfam family "Bacterial small subunit ribosomal RNA", at positions 524 to 776 of the family's 1533-position model. The record is from RNAcentral.
UACGGGGGGAGCAAGCGUUGUUCGGACUUACUGGGCGUAAAGGGCGCGUAGGCGGUCAGCACAAGUCAGUUGUGAAAUCUCCGGGCUUAACCCGGAAAGGUCAACUGAUACUGUGCGACUAGAGUGCGGAAGGGGCAACUGGAAUUCUCGGUGUAGCGGUGAAAUGCGUAGAUAUCGAGAGGAACACCUGCGGCGAAGGCGGGUUGCUGGGCCGACACUGACGCUGAUGCGCGAAAGCCAGGGGAGCGAACGGG